AUACUUACCUGGCAGGGGAGAUACCAUGAUCAAGAAGGUGGUUCACCCAGGGCGAGGCUCAGCCAUUGCACUCCGGCUGUGCUGACCCCUGCGAAUUCCCCAAAUGUGGGAAUCUCGACUGCAUAAUUUC
RNAcentral lists this small nuclear RNA (130 nucleotides) under Scleropages formosus (Asian bonytongue). Its description in RNAcentral is "U1 spliceosomal RNA (ENSSFOG00015030190.1)". It matches the Rfam family "U1 spliceosomal RNA", at positions 1 to 131 of the family's 166-position model. Rfam says of the family: U1 is a small nuclear RNA (snRNA) component of the spliceosome (involved in pre-mRNA splicing). Its 5' end forms complementary base pairs with the 5' splice junction, thus defining the 5' donor site of an intron. There are significant differences in sequence and secondary structure between metazoan and yeast U1 snRNAs, the latter being much longer (568 nucleotides as compared to 164 nucleotides in human). The record is from RNAcentral. Lineage: Eukaryota; Metazoa; Chordata; Actinopteri; Osteoglossiformes; Osteoglossidae.